Molecule: RNA transcript, 1351 nt
Organism: Phragmites australis (common reed)
Lineage: Eukaryota; Viridiplantae; Streptophyta; Magnoliopsida; Poales; Poaceae
Exons: 6
Source: RefSeq, a predicted model, not a curated record
ACAACACGUACGUAAAUCCAUACUGUCAUACAAUAAUUUAUAUCCUUUUGAGGUUCUCUGUUAUAACACUAAACAUUAAUAUGUUCCUUGUUAUUUUUUCACCCUACAAACAUCUAUGCACAAUAUCCAGAACCAACAACUGGUGAUCGAACGCACUGCUGCCUCCACACAGCAACCUCCAUCCACACUAAAACCAAUUCAGGUUGAAGAUAAGCAGCUCCAAGAUUUAGAAACAAUGAAUCCAUAUGACUUUCCGGAAAAUGGAUGCCGCUGCACUGUGACAAUUACUCGCUUGGUUCAAACCAUAGCAUGGUGGUUUGCGUCAUGCAACAGAUGCAGUCGUGCUUGCACUCCAAAUGGCCCAGGAUAUAAAUGCACCACAUGUUCUUGCACAGGCUAUCGCUUCAAGUACAAAUUAUGCUUUGUAGCAAAUGACGGCACUGCUGAAGCUGAAAUGGUUGCUUUUAGUGAAGUUGGACGCCGCAUAGUUGGUAAACUAGUUCAGCAGGUCCUGAGAGCCACAAGAAUUGCAAAUGACAUCCCACCGGACAUUGCAGCUAUAGUUUCACUGAAAUUCACUUUGCAAUUACCCUGAUGAAUCAAAGUUACUACAGCCCAGAGAAAUCAUACCAGGUGAACUCUAUCAUCGCUGCCUAUGGGAGGCAACAUACACUCCCACAACUAAGAAACAAUCAAAACAAAGGGCUAUUAAAUCCUCAAAUGACAAUUCACUCAAGCACCCAACAAGAAUCAUUGAUGUCUAAACCAAGCAUCAACAAGAAUCAUUGAUGUCCAGACCAAGCAUCCAUGCUGACACACAUCACAUUGACCCCUAUGCCUCUCCACCUGCUGCUACUCCUCCAUCUGCAUCAAAGUCUACCACGACUUCUACACCAUCAGAUACUCAAAGAACAGCCACUGAAAAUACACUUCCCCCUUUACUAGACUAUACUGAAUCAGUAUCAAGAAAUCUCAACUUUGGGAUGCUGCUGAUGCCUCUAGCCACUCUGGUGCUAAAAGAAAGCUCUUUCAAGAAAGCCAAGAUGCAACAAAGGUAAGUAUACAUUGUCCUCUUUGACACUUAUUAUAAACCCUCUAUAUACAUACAUGUAUUUCAAACCACUAAAACCCAUACACCUACUUUGAACCUUACACUUUUUUACCUGUGUAGGAAACCAAUAUAAGCUAUAAGAAGAGCAAAACCAGCAAUGCCAGAUUGACGGAUGACCCACAACCACAAUCAACAAGCAAAAAAACCUCUUCUCACCAGGUCACCUCUCCUGACUCAAAGCUGUCUGAACCAAAGGUUGAUGAAGCUCAGUAGCUUCUUCACGUCACCUGCACAACACUG